GUGACUGCGUACCUUUUGUAUAAUGGGUCAGCGACUUAUAUUCUGUAGCAAGGUUAACCGAAUAGGGGAGCCGGAGGGAAACCGAGUCUUAACCGGGCGUUAAGUUGCAGGGUAUAGACCCGAAACCCGGUGAUCUAGCCAUGGGCAGGUUGAAGGUUGGGUAACACUAACUGGAGGACCGAACCGACUAAUGUUGAAAAAUUAGCGGAUGACCUGUGGCUGGGGGUGAAAGGCCAAUCAAACCGGGAGAUAGCUGGUUCUCCCCGAAAGCUAUUUAGGUAGCGCCUCGUGAAUUCAUCUCCGGGGGUAGAGCACUGUUUCGGCUAGGGGGCCAUCCCGGCUUACCAACCCGAUGCAAACUGCGAAUACCGGAGAAUGUUAUCACGGGAGACACACGGCGGGUGCUAACGUCCGUCGUGAAGAGGGAAACAACCCAGACCGCCAGCUAAGGUCCCAAAGUCAUGGUUAAGUGGGAAACGAUGUGGGAAGGCCCAGACAGCCAGGAUGUUGGCUUAGAAGCAGCCAUCAUUUAAAGAAAGCGUAAUAGCUCACUGGUCGAGUCGGCCUGCGCGGAAGAUGUAACGGGGCUAAACCAUGCACCGAAGCUGCGGCAGCGACGCUGAUGCGUUGUUGGGUAGGGGAGCGUUCUGUAAGCCUGCGAAGGUGGCCUGUGAGGGUUGCUGGAGGUAUCAGAAGUGCGAAUGCUGACAUAAGUAACGAUAAAGCGGGUGAAAAGCCCGCUCGCCGGAAGACCAAGGGUUCCUGUCCAACGUUAAUCGGGGCAGGGUGAGUCGACCCCUAAGGCGAGGCCGAAAGGCGUAGUCGAUGGGAAACGGGUUAAUAUUCCCGUACUUGGUGUUACUGCGAAGGGGGGACGGAGAAGGCUAUGUUGGCCGGGCGACGGUUGUCCCGGUUUAAGCGUGUAGGUGUGUGUUCCAGGUAAAUCCGGUUCACUUUAACACUGAGGCGUGAUGACGAGGCACUACGGUGCUGAAGCAACAAAUGCCCUGCUUCCAGGAAAAGCCUCUAAGCAUCAGGUAACAUCAAAUCGUACCCCAAACCGACACAGGUGGUCAGGUAGAGAAUACCAAGGCGCUUGAGAGAACUCGGGUGAAGGAACUAGGCAAAAUGGUGCCGUAACUUCGGGAGAAGGCACGCUGACACGUAGGUGAAGUGAUUUACUCAUGGAGCUGAAGUCAGUCGAAGAUACCAGCUGGCUGCAACUGUUUAUUAAAAACACAGCACUGUGCAAACACGAAAGUGGACGUAUACGGUGUGACGCCUGCCCGGUGCCGGAAGGUUAAUUGAUGGGGUCAGCGCAAGCGAAGCUCCUGAUCGAAGCCCCGGUAAACGGCGGCCGUAACUAUAACGGUCCUAAGGUAGCGAAAUUCCUUGUCGGGUAAGUUCCGACCUGCACGAAUGGCGUAAUGAUGGCCAGGCUGUCUCCACCCGAGACUCAGUGAAAUUGAACUCGCUGUGAAGAUGCAGUGUACCCGCGGCAAGACGGAAAGACCCCGUGAACCUUUACUAUAGCUUGACACUGAACAUUGAGCCUUGAUGUGUAGGAUAGGUGGGAGGCUUUGAAGUGUGGACGCCAGUCUGCAUGGAGCCGGCCUUGAAAUACCACCCUUUAAUGUUUGAUGUUCUAACGUGGACCCGUGAUCCGGGUUGCGGACAGUGUCUGGUGGGUAGUUUGACUGGGGCGGUCUCCUCCUAAAGAGUAACGGAGGAGCACGAAGGUUGGCUAAUCCUGGUCGGACAUCAGGAGGUUAGUGCAAUGGCAUAAGCCAGCUUGACUGCGAGCGUGACGGCGCGAGCAGGUGCGAAAGCAGGUCAUAGUGAUCCGGUGGUUCUGAAUGGAAGGGCCAUCGCUCAACGGAUAAAAGGUACUCCGGGGAUAACAGGCUGAUACCGCCCAAGAGUUCAUAUCGACGGCGGUGUUUGGCACCUCGAUGUCGGCUCAUCACAUCCUGGGGCUGAAGUAGGUCCCAAGGGUAUGGCUGUUCGCCAUUUAAAGUGGUACGCGAGCUGGGUUUAGAACGUCGUGAGACAGUUCGGUCCCUAUCUGCCGUGGGCGCUGGAGAACUGAGGGGGGCUGCUCCUAGUACGAGAGGACCGGAGUGGACGCAUCACUGGUGUUCGGGUUGUCAUGCCAAUGGCACUGCCCGGUAGCUAAAUGCGGAAGAGAUAAGUGCUGAAAGCAUCUAAGCACGAAACUUGCCCCGAGAUGAGUUCUCCCUGAGACUUAGAGUCUCCUGAAGGAACGUUGAAGACGACGACGUUGAUAGGCCGGGUGUGUAAGCGCAGCGAUGCGUUGAGCUAACCGGUACUAAUGAACCGUGAGGCUUAACCUUACA
RNAcentral lists this ribosomal RNA (2357 nucleotides) under Salmonella enterica. RNAcentral describes it as "partial 23S ribosomal RNA". It matches the Rfam family "Bacterial large subunit ribosomal RNA", at positions 593 to 2925 of the family's 2925-position model. The record is from RNAcentral. Lineage: Bacteria; Pseudomonadati; Pseudomonadota; Gammaproteobacteria; Enterobacterales; Enterobacteriaceae.